RNAcentral lists this long non-coding RNA (309 nucleotides) under Gossypium barbadense (sea-island cotton). Its description in RNAcentral is "long non-coding RNA (GBAR_LNC018170)". Lineage: Eukaryota; Viridiplantae; Streptophyta; Magnoliopsida; Malvales; Malvaceae. The record is from RNAcentral.
CUUAAAGUGCAUAACCCAUUGACCCAUCUUAAAGAAUGGAUGUCAGGGAGCUGAGAUAGGAAAAGUUCAAAAGCCCCAAAGAAAAUAAUAAAAUGUUGCAACGUGAGUGUGCCAUGCUUGUGAUAAUGCUUGUAAACCGCCUGCAAAUGAUAGAGCACUAACUUAUUGCCUUAAUUGAUAUGAUUCCUUGAAGGAAAUGAGGGCCAGAUUGACUGACCUUGAGGCUGCUUCCAGCAGCGAUUUGAAUGGCGAUGUUAUUUCCUAUUGAAGCCACCUGCUGAAAAAAUGCAAUAGACCAGUAACCCCAGA